Molecule: long non-coding RNA, 991 nt
Organism: Aedes albopictus (Asian tiger mosquito)
Lineage: Eukaryota; Metazoa; Arthropoda; Insecta; Diptera; Culicidae
Exons: 2
Source: RefSeq, a predicted model, not a curated record
AUAGUUAUGGACAUCCCUAGGCUCUACCCACGAUGUUCAGGUAUCCGCCUAUCGUGGACUAGAUGCUGACAAAGCAGUAUCACCCUUGGAGACACUGAGCAUAACCCCCAUACCAGAAUACCCUUUGGACUCCGAGCAUAUUGAUGACACGAUAAAUCGAUACCGGCGCACAGUAACACCGACCAUCCAACGCAACCCAGAACAACCAGGCCAGUUGCCAUCCGGUGAACUUUUGCUGACAUCGAGAAAGCAUCGAACUCAAUCGGAGGACACAGGUGUGCCCUCGGUCUGGUCUGGCUCGAUCAGUCAGUUGGAAGUGAACGUUUGAAUCGAUAGGUCUAAUAGAAACGAAGUAGUCAGUUGAAAGCCCUUCUGGCCCAGAAUAAGUGUUAGGAAGUGUGAAAUGUAAAAUUAUAAACAAGAACAUAAUAAAAGUGAUGGGAUUAGUGUAAAUUUGAAACAAGUAGUUUUUUAAAAACCCUAAUGUGAAGUCCCGUCCAUUUUUGGCGCAGUCGUACGGAACACUCUACGUGCAGUGCUAGUUUUUGGAAGACAAUCUAGUGACAAAACCCGAUCCGUGGUAAUUGGACAGUAGUGCGAAAACCGAAAAUUAGUGUCGAAUUGACGACAUCGGACGUGCCGGUAACCAAGGACUAAAAGUGUAACUGACUUGCGCAGGAUUCAGCAUUAAGUAGACGCUUAGCCCAACCCGUGGCGAAGCAAGAAACUAGUGACUAUCUCCAGCGAUCAUCAGGAACCAGGCUCUUGGAAACCAUCCCUCAACCCGUAGGUGAUUUGCGCCGCCCGACACGAAAACUGCAUCGGUGGGUUUCAACCCUUUAAGAGUGUCGAACCCUCGAAGAUGACACACAAACACCCGAUACUUUUUUGUCUUACAAUUAUGAUGUUUUUCAAUCCUAUUUACUCUGCUUACUUGGAAAUCCUUGAACUUAAUGAAAAUCCCGGUAUAGUUGCGUUCAAGACUAAUUCA